CAGCUCCAGCCUGCUGUCCUUUUUCUCCUCCACCACAUCCAUCUUCACGCAUCUGAAUUUUUGCCUACUUUGUUCCCACCAAUUGGAAGGCUUUCUCUCAUUAACUCCCUCCCAUUCCAAACAAGAGCUGGUAAAUUUCAACUCACCAUUCAAGACUUUACUGAGGAGUCUGCUCCUUUGGACUCCGUGCAUGCCUCCCUUAUAGUUCUUAUCACACUUUCUAUCAUUUUCUGUGUUUGAUUUGUGUCAUCUGUUGAACUGUGGGAUUCUUGAGAGGCAGAUUCAGUGUUCUGUUCAUCAUUGGCACAAUGCCUGUCAUGCAGUAAAUACUCAGUAAAUAAUUGCUUAUAUUAAAAUGACCUUAAAAAAACAGGUAUCUCAUUUGGUAACUUUUAAAAAGGAUCAUUCAUUGUACAAAUAACCUGUUAACUAUAAAUUAAACCAAUGAUCUAAUCAAGAAAGCUGUUGGCUGGCGUUGUAGCAGGUCAUAUAUAUGACUGAAAUAAAACCCAAAAAAGCACCCCUGGAGCAGAUCACCAGGGAGCUAACAGCCACACGGCAGGUGAGUGGGACAGUCUCUGUAGCCUCGUUUCCAGCAGAGGUCACAGUGAAUCCACCUUUCCUUGAGUUUUAAUCAGAGCUACUCUUCACUGUUUACCUCAUCAAUAAAAAUACACAAGCAGCAGCUACAAACAGAAGAAGAUUUUCUAUUUUCUUCACUACAUUUUGAUAAUUCUCAAGACAAUUACAGGGAAGAACAAACCCACGCAAGAACACAACUCAAUCAAGCCAAAAAAAAUAACUGUGGAAUGAGAUGGACAAAAAGGACAAAGUUCAAUGGAAGAAUAUUCUCUGUAGGUGCAGACUAUUUAAAUGUACAGUAACUUGCAUGACUACCACUAUGAUAAUUGCUUCUUGCUGAAGACUGGAGUUAACACAAAAGAAAUGAAUAUGUUCUAUUUCCAUUCUGUGAUCACUGCCGAAUUAGUACAAAAAUAGUGACAAACUUUCAUAGUAUAUAAAUCAAGAGAAAUGAAAAGCAUUUCUAAUUUUUAAUACCAGCAAAGUCAAAAAGCCACAAGAAAAAAAUUCAGCAGCAAUCUCCUUAUUGCCGAGAUUCACAAAAAAAUUGCAUGCAGAAAAGAACCUUC
This 1151-nucleotide long non-coding RNA is filed under the name Equus caballus (horse). Its description in RNAcentral is "lncRNA (ENSECAG00000059260.1)". The record is from RNAcentral. Lineage: Eukaryota; Metazoa; Chordata; Mammalia; Perissodactyla; Equidae.